AAAAACAUCGCCUCCCGCAAAAAUCAAAGUAUAGGAGGUCUUGCCUGCCCAGUGACUAUAAGUUAAACGGCCGCGGUAUUUUGACCGUGCAAAGGUAGCGCAAUCACUUGUCUUUUAAAUGAAGACCUGUAUGAAUGGUGGAACGAGGGCUUAACUGUCUCCCCCCUCUAGUCAAUGAAAUUGAUCUGCCCGUGCAGAAGCGGACAUAAUAAUACAAGACGAGAAGACCCUUUGGAGCUUAAGACAAAAGACCAACUACAUCAAAAGUCCUUAAAACUAAACCAAGUAGCACUGGUUCUAGUCUUCGGUUGGGGCGACCGCGGGAGAAAACAAAGCUCCCAUGCGGACUGGGGUAAACCCCUAAAACUAAGAGAGACAUCUCCAAGGCACAGAACAUUUGACCAAAAAGAUCCGGCUACAUGCCGACCAGCGGACCAAGUUACCCUAGGGAUAACAGCGCAAUCCCCUUCCAGAGUCCAUAUCGACAAGGGGGUUUACGACCUCGAUGUUGGAUCAGGACAUCCUAAUGGUGCAGCCGCUAUUAAGGGUUC
This 551-nucleotide ribosomal RNA is filed under the name Chaetostoma thomsoni. RNAcentral describes it as "partial large subunit ribosomal RNA". It matches the Rfam family "Bacterial large subunit ribosomal RNA", at positions 1809 to 2574 of the family's 2925-position model. The record is from RNAcentral. Lineage: Eukaryota; Metazoa; Chordata; Actinopteri; Siluriformes; Loricariidae.